UACCAGCACCCCGAGUGGUCGGGACGUUUAUUGGGCCUAAAGCAUCCGUAGCCGGUUCUACAAGUCUUCCGUUAAAUCCAGCUGCUUAACAGAUGGGCUGCGGAAGAUACUAUGGAGCUAGGAGGCGGGAGAGGCAAGCGGUACUCGAUGGGUAGGGGUAAAAUCCGUUGAUCCAUUGAAGACCACCAGUGGCGAAGGCGGCUUGCCAGAACGCGCUCGACGGUGAGGAUGAAAGCUGGGGAGCAAACCGGG
RNAcentral lists this ribosomal RNA (252 nucleotides) under uncultured bacterium. Its description in RNAcentral is "partial 16S ribosomal RNA". It matches the Rfam family "Archaeal small subunit ribosomal RNA", at positions 474 to 728 of the family's 1478-position model. The record is from RNAcentral.